GAAGCCCAGCUUGCUGGGUGGAUUAGUGGCGAACGGGUGAGUAACACGUGAGUAACCUGCCCCUGACUCUGGGAUAAGCCCGGGAAACUGGGUCUAAUACCGGAUAUGACUUUUGACUGCAUGGUUGAGGGUGGAAAGAUUUAUCGGUUGGGGAUGGACUCGCGGCCUAUCAGCUUGUUGGUGAGGUAAUGGCUCACCAAGGCGACGACGGGUAGCCGGCCUGAGAGGGUGACCGGCCACACUGGGACUGAGACACGGCCCAGACUCCUACGGGAGGCAGCAGUGGGGAAUAUUGCACAAUGGGCGCAAGCCUGAUGCAGCGACGCCGCGUGAGGGAUGACGGCCUUCGGGUUGUAAACCUCUUUCAGUAGGGAAGAAGCGAAAGUGACGGUACCUGCAGAAGAAGCGCCGGCUAACUACGUGCCAGCAGCCGCGGUAAUACGUAGGGCGCAAGCGUUAUCCGGAUUUAUUGGGCGUAAAGAGCUCGUAGGCGGUUUGUCGCGUCUAUCGUGAAAGUCCGAGGCUCAACCUCGGAUCUGCGGUGGGUACGGGCAGACUAGAGUGAUGUAGGGGAGACUGGAAUUCCUGGUGUAGCGGUGAAAUGCGCAGAUAUCAGGAGGAACACCGAUGGCGAAGGCAGGUCUCUGGGCAUUUACUGACGCUGAGGAGCGAAAGCAUGGGGAGCGAACAGGAUUAGAUACCCUGGUAGUCCAUGCCGUAAACGUUGGGCACUAGGUGUGGGGGACAUUCCACGUUUUCCGCGCCGUAGCUAACGCAUUAAGUGCCCCGCCUGGGGAGUACGGCCGCAAGGCUAAAACUCAAAGGAAUUGACGGGGGCCCGCACAAGCGGCGGAGCAUGCGGAUUAAUUUCGAUGCAACGCGAAGAACCUUACCAAGGCUUUGACAUGUUCCAGAUCGCCUCAGAGAUGGGGUUUCCCUUCGGGGCUGGCUCACAGGUGGUGCAUGGUUGUCGUCAGCUCGUGUCGUGAGAUGUUGGGUUAAGUCCCGCA
This 1010-nucleotide ribosomal RNA is filed under the name Arthrobacter sp. TR17T2. RNAcentral describes it as "bacterial SSU rRNA". It matches the Rfam family "Bacterial small subunit ribosomal RNA", at positions 70 to 1091 of the family's 1533-position model. The record is from RNAcentral. Lineage: Bacteria; Bacillati; Actinomycetota; Actinomycetes; Micrococcales; Micrococcaceae.